UAAUACAGAGGGUGCAAGCGUUAAUCGGAUUUACUGGGCGUAAAGGGUGUGUAGGUGGUUUGGCAAGUCGGUUGUGAAAUCCCCGGGCUCAACCUGGGAAUUGCUUCCGAGACUGCUUGACUAGAGUACGGUAGAGGGCGGUGGAAUUUCCGGUGUAGCGGUGAAAUGCGUAGAUAUCGGAAGGAACACCAAUGGCGAAGGCAGCCGCCUGGGCCUGUACUGACACUGAGACACGAAAGCGUGGGGAUCAAACAGG
Molecule: ribosomal RNA, 256 nt
Filed under: uncultured bacterium
Lineage: Bacteria
Description: partial 16S ribosomal RNA
Rfam family: Bacterial small subunit ribosomal RNA
Source: RNAcentral